ACGCACGCUGGCGGCGUGCUUAACCCAUGCAAGUCGUGCGGUAAGGCCCUUUCGGGGGUCCCCGAGCGGCGAACGGGUGAGUAACACGUGAGCAACCUGCCCUUCACUUUGGGAUAACUGCCGGAAACGGUGGCUAAUACCGGAUAUGACUUCCUCACGCAUGUGGGGUGGUGGAAAGCCUUCGGGUGGUGGGGGAUGGGCUCGCGGUCUAUCAGCUUGUUGGUGGGGUGAUGGCCUACCAAGGCUUCGACGGGUAGCCGGCCUGAGAGGGUGACCGGCCACACUGGGACUGAGACACGGCCCAGACUCCUACGGGAGGCAGCAGUGGGGAAUAUUGGACAAUGGGCGAAAGCCUGAUCCAGCAACGCCGCGUGAGGGAUGACGGCCUUCGGGUUGUAAACCUCUUUCGCCUGCGACGAAGCGAGAGUGACGGUAGCAGGUAAAGAAGCACCGGCCAACUACGUG
Molecule: ribosomal RNA, 465 nt
Filed under: uncultured bacterium
Lineage: Bacteria
Description: partial 16S ribosomal RNA
Rfam family: Bacterial small subunit ribosomal RNA
Source: RNAcentral